AUUGAACGCUGGCGGCGUGCCUAACACAUGCAAGUCGAGCGGUAACAGGUGUAGCAAUACAUGCUGACGAGCGGCGGACGGGUGAGUAACGCUUGGGAAUCUGCCUGUUAGUGGGGGACAACCCGGGGAAACUCGGGCUAAUACCGCAUACGCACUACGGUGGAAAGCCGGGGACCGCAAGGCCUGGCGCUAACAGAUGAGCCCAAGUCGGAUUAGCUAGUUGGUAGGGUAACGGCCACCAAGGCGACGAUCCGUAACUGGUCUGAGAGGACGACCAGUCACACCGGAACUGAGACACGGUCCGGACUCCUACGGGAGGCAGCAGUGGGGAAUAUUGGACAAUGGCGAAAGCCUGAUCCAGCGACGCCGCGUGGGUGAAGAAGGCCUGCGGGUUGUAAAGCCCUUUCGGUGGGGAAGAAAAGCCUCGAGUUAACACCUCGGGUCUUGACGUAACCCAUAGAAGAAGCACCGGCUAACUCUGUGCCAGCAGCCGCCGUAAC
This 500-nucleotide ribosomal RNA is filed under the name uncultured bacterium. RNAcentral describes it as "bacterial SSU rRNA". It matches the Rfam family "Bacterial small subunit ribosomal RNA", at positions 29 to 524 of the family's 1533-position model. The record is from RNAcentral.